CCUACGGGAGGCUGCAGUGAGGAAUAUUGGUCAAUGGGCGAGAGCCUGAACCAGCCAAGUCGCGUGAGGGAGUACUGCCCUAUGGGUUGUAAACCUCUUUUGUCGGGGAGCAAAAGCCGGACGUGUCCGGCUGUGAGAGUACCCGAAGAAAAAGCAUCGGCUAACUCCGUGCCAGCAGCCGCGGUAAUACGGAGGAUGCGAGCGUUAUCCGGAUUUAUGGGGUUUAAAGGGUGCGCAGGCGGAUUUUUAAGUCAGCGGUCAAAUCGUGGGGCUCAACCCCAUCCAGCCGUUGAAACUGGGGAUCUAGAGUGUGCGAGAGGUAUGCGGAAUGCGUGGUGUAGCGGUGAAAUGCAUAGAUAUCACGCAGAACCCCGAUUGCGAAGGCAGCAUACCGGUGCACAACUGACGCUCAGGCACGAAAGCGUGGGUAUCGAACAGGAUUAUAUACCCCGGUAGUC
Molecule: ribosomal RNA, 458 nt
Filed under: uncultured bacterium
Lineage: Bacteria
Description: partial 16S ribosomal RNA
Rfam family: Bacterial small subunit ribosomal RNA
Source: RNAcentral